RNAcentral lists this signal recognition particle RNA (90 nucleotides) under Bremerella cremea. Its description in RNAcentral is "Blastopirellula cremea signal recognition particle sRNA small type". It matches the Rfam family "Bacterial small signal recognition particle RNA". Rfam says of the family: The signal recognition particle (SRP) is a universally conserved ribonucleoprotein involved in the co-translational targeting of proteins to membranes. Archaeal SRP consists of a 7S RNA and homologues of the eukaryotic SRP19 and SRP54 proteins. In most bacteria, the SRP consists of a 4.5S RNA and the Ffh protein (a homologue of the eukaryotic SRP54 protein). Lineage: Bacteria; Pseudomonadati; Planctomycetota; Planctomycetia; Pirellulales; Pirellulaceae. The record is from RNAcentral.
AGCGACCCUCGCAAGGGGAAAUCCGGCAACUUGGUCAGGCCUUAACUGGAGCAGCCACACCCGGAGGACUCUUGUGCGAGGGUCACUCCA